GUGCUCACUUCAGCAGCACAUAUACUAAAAUUGGAACAAUACAGGGAAGAUUAGCAUGGCCUCCGUGCAAGGAUGACACACAAAUUCGUGAAGUGUUCCAUAUUAAA
This 107-nucleotide small nuclear RNA is filed under the name Dasypus novemcinctus (nine-banded armadillo). The record is from RNAcentral. Lineage: Eukaryota; Metazoa; Chordata; Mammalia; Cingulata; Dasypodidae.